GACGAACGCUGGCGGCGUGCUUAACACAUGCAAGUCGAACGGAAAGGCCCUGCUUUUGUGGGGUGCUCGAGUGGCGAACGGGUGAGUAACACGUGAGUAACCUGCCCUUGACUUUGGGAUAACUUCAGGAAACUGGGGCUAAUACCGGAUAGGAGCUCCUGCUGCAUGGUGGGGGUUGGAAAGUUUCGGCGGUUGGGGAUGGACUCGCGGCUUAUCAGCUUGUUGGUGGGGUAGUGGCUUACCAAGGCUUUGACGGGUAGCCGGCCUGAGAGGGUGACCGGCCACAUUGGGACUGUGAUACGGCCCAGACUCCUACGGGAGGCAGCAGUGGGGAAUAUUGCACAAUGGGCGGAAGACUGAUGCAGCAACGCCGCGUGCGGGAUGACGGCCUUCGGGUUGUAAACCGCUUUCGCCUGUGACGAAGCGUGAGUGACGGUAAUGGGUAAAGAAGCACCGGCUAACUACGUG
This 468-nucleotide ribosomal RNA is filed under the name uncultured bacterium. RNAcentral describes it as "partial 16S ribosomal RNA". It matches the Rfam family "Bacterial small subunit ribosomal RNA", at positions 28 to 507 of the family's 1533-position model. The record is from RNAcentral.